Non-coding RNA from Salmo salar (Atlantic salmon), 1316 nucleotides. The record is from RefSeq and is a predicted model, not a curated record. Lineage: Eukaryota; Metazoa; Chordata; Actinopteri; Salmoniformes; Salmonidae.
UGUCAGGUGGUGCAUUGGAGACUGAUGUGUUCCUGUCCUGUCUUUUCAUAAUACUAUUGCAGAUCGACAUAAAAGCCUAAAAGACAGCCGUGGUGUCGCUCUUCAUUUCUUGGUUCUCCUGUGGUGCAUAAGAAACCCGCUACAGAUUGGUGCCGUGACGAUAUGGCCUAAAAACUUGACAGAUUUUCUGAGGAGGUAACAUUUUUUUUGCGCUAGCUUCAGGUUGUGUUCCUUAAGGCGGGAGAACACCAUUUCGAGACGGUCCAGGGCUUCCUGCUCAGUCUUCCCGAAAACCAGGAGAUCAUCCAAGUAGCACAGGAGGGACAAGUAGUUCUGGUCGCCGAAGAUCGAGGUCAUCAUUCUGGCGAAUGUUGCUGGGCUGUUACAUAACCCCUGAGCCAUUCUGUUGUACUCAAAUAAACCCGUGGGUGUUGUGCACGCUGUGUACUUGCGGUCAUCUUCAUGUAUGGGGAUGUUGUAGAAUCCCGAAGUCAAAUCCAUAGUACUGAAGAAGCAGUUCCCCCCCAAAGCAGCGAGAGCAUCGGCUUGAUGGGGCAAUGGGUAUGCAUCUUUCUCUGUCCUCUGGUUCAACCAUCUGAAAUCAGUGCAAAUUCUCAACUCUCCUGACGGCUUCCAAACCAGGACAAGGGGGAGGCCCACUCACUACUGGACUUUCGGAUGAUGCCCCGCUCCUCCAUUUCCUCCAGCGUCUGUCUCAGUUUCUGGUAGUCGGAUGGAGAGACCCUCCUGUACGGCAGCCGGAAAGGCUUUUCAUCUUUGAGUCGGAUACGGUGGAUGACGUUCUUCGCUUCUCCACAGUCAAGUCGGUCCCUGGAGAAGAUGCCUUCAUACUGAGCAAUAAGGUCCACUAGUUUUCCUUUCCACAUGUCAGACACUUCACAGGACUCUAUGUCAACUUCUUUUAAGCCCAACUCUUCCAACUUUUGUAGAUACUCUUUCUUUGCCCUUUUUCCACCAAAUGAACAUCCUUCCCCAGCUUGGGUGACAUUCUGAAGGGCAGACUGGACCUUACUGGGGUUCUCAGCAUGGCUGGCAUAGAGCUCUAGGUCUUCUAGGGCUAGGCAUGGGUGCACAUCGGCCAACUUGGUGUUACGGCGGAGAAUAAUAGGGUGGUCCAACAUGUUGAUCACUUUCAUGGGGACCCACUUGUCACCCCUCAAAGGACAUACAGUGCGUCCUACUAGGACAUUUCUUGGUGCAGAUCGUGCUGUAGUGGCCUCUAUGACUACAGUACUACCGACUGAUAGCGGUACCUUUUCUUUCAGUUUUCCCCAGACCAAAUGUUCAUGUUGAGG